RNAcentral lists this unclassified non-coding RNA (357 nucleotides) under uncultured fungus. Its description in RNAcentral is "partial contains small subunit ribosomal RNA, internal transcribed spacer 1, and 5.8S ribosomal RNA". The stretch from base 1 to 73 matches the Rfam family "Eukaryotic small subunit ribosomal RNA", at positions 1759 to 1831 of the family's 1831-position model. Lineage: Eukaryota; Fungi. The record is from RNAcentral.
UCAAACUUGGUCAUUUAGAGGAAGUAAAAGUCGUAACAAGGUUUCCGUAGGUGAACCUGCGGAAGGAUCAUUACCAAGCUGAGGGGGUGACGAUCUCGGAGGCUGGUGUACACACAAGCCGCUGAGCGGGAGCCGUUGCAAGAUGAGACUCCUCGCCGCGGUGCCUCCCAAGACAAGCCCCCGAACCUUCCACCCUUGUCCACUUGUACCCUUUGUUGCCUCGGCGGGUACGCCCGCCGGAGGACCACACCAAAAACUCUUGUUGUAAACGGCGUCUUGUCUGAGCUAUAGCGAAAGCAAUGGUUUAAAACUUUCAACAACGGAUCUCUUGGUUCUGGCAUCGAUGAAGAACGCAGC